RNAcentral lists this ribosomal RNA (650 nucleotides) under uncultured archaeon. Its description in RNAcentral is "bacterial SSU rRNA". It matches the Rfam family "Archaeal small subunit ribosomal RNA", at positions 316 to 966 of the family's 1478-position model. The record is from RNAcentral.
CCAGGCCCUACGGGGUGCAGCAGGCGCGAAAACUUUACAAUGCUGGGAACAGCGAUAAGGGAACCUCGAGUGCCAGGUUACAAAUCUGGCUGUCGUGAUGCCUAAAAAGCAUUAUAUAGCAAGGGCCGGGCAAGACCGGUGCCAGCCGCCGCGGUAACACCGGCGGCUCGAGUGGUAACCGUUAUUAUUGGGUCUAAAGGGUCUGUAGCCGGCCGGAUAAGUCUCUUGGGAAAUCUGGCAGCUUAACUGUCAGGCUUUCAGGGGAUACUGUCUGGCUCGAGGCCGGGAGAGGUGAGAGGUACUUCAGGGGUAGGGGUGAAAUCUUGUAAUCCUUGAAGGACCACCAGUGGCGAAGGCGUCUCACCAGAACGGACCUGACGGCAAGGGACGAAAGCUAGGGGCACGAACCGGAUUAGAUACCCGGGUAGUCCUAGCCGUAAACGAUACUCGCUAGGUGUCGGCCACGGUGCGACCGUUGUCGGUGCCGUAGGGAAGCCGUGAAGCGAGCCACCUGGGAAGUACGGCCGCAAGGCUGAAACUUAAAGGAAUUGGCGGGGGAGCACAACGACGGGUGGAGCUUGCGGUUUAAUUGGAUUCAACGCCGGAAAUCUUACCGGGACCGACAGCAACAUGAAGCCAAGCGAAGAGUA